Molecule: long non-coding RNA, 493 nt
Filed under: Carica papaya (papaya)
Lineage: Eukaryota; Viridiplantae; Streptophyta; Magnoliopsida; Brassicales; Caricaceae
Description: long non-coding RNA (CPAP_LNC006886)
Source: RNAcentral
CCAGACAAAACCUCGAGAAACCCAUUCGGCCGGUCUUUCAUAACCGUUACACAGUUUACAUAUAUAAUACUAAGGUCGGUUGCAGUUUUUUUUCUUUAUAUACACAUACAUGACAUAUAAAUAUGUAUAUAUACACAGAGAGAAAGCCAGCAUUUACAUGUAAUAUUGCUAUUUGAAGAUUAAUUAACUAUGCAUAUGUAGGUGGGAGGUUGGUUUUCUUAACUGCACCAUGGAGGAGAGUGCAAGGAAUCCCACCCGGUUGUAUCGACGAAAUUACCUCCUAAAAUCCCUGGAUCUUCCAUUGUUGGGAACCCUAAUGACAUAGCAGCUUCUGCCCAGAUUGAAUCAUCAAACACAGGCAAAUUCAGGCUCAUGUUCUCCCAAAUCUCCUCCAUCCCAUCUUCAUCCUUUCCAAAUUUGACAUUACUAUCAACCAGGUUACCUCUGGACUCAACCUUUGAAUCAGGACAUGGCACGGUCGAAUCGUUAUUUG